AGGACGAACGCUGGCGGCGCGCCUAACACAUGCAAGUCGAGCGAGAACCAGGGCUUGCCCUGGGGACAGCGGCGAACGGGUGCGUAACACGUGAGCAACCUGCCCCAAAGACCGGGACAACCCGAGGAAACUCGGACUAAUACCGGAUGCCCUCACCGGGCCGCAUGGUCUGGUGAGGAAAUGGAUUCCGCUUUGGGAUGGGCUCGCGGUCUAUCAGCUUGUUGGUGGGGUAACGCCUACCAAGGCGACGACGGAUAGCUGGUCUGAGAGGACGAUCAGCCACACUGGGACUGAGACACGGCCCAGACUCCUACGGAGGCAGCAGUGGGGAAUCUUGCGCAAUGGGGGAAACCCUGACGCAGCGACGCCGCGUGCGGGAUGAAGGCCUUCGGGUUGUAAACCGCUUUCAGCAGGGACGAAAUUGACGGUACCUGCAGAAGAAGGCCCGGCCAACUACGCGCCAGCAGCCGC
RNAcentral lists this ribosomal RNA (471 nucleotides) under uncultured bacterium. RNAcentral's name for it is "SSU rRNA". It matches the Rfam family "Bacterial small subunit ribosomal RNA", at positions 26 to 518 of the family's 1533-position model. The record is from RNAcentral.